RNAcentral lists this ribosomal RNA (465 nucleotides) under uncultured bacterium. Its description in RNAcentral is "partial 16S ribosomal RNA". It matches the Rfam family "Bacterial small subunit ribosomal RNA", at positions 28 to 507 of the family's 1533-position model. The record is from RNAcentral.
GAUGAACGCUGGCGGCGUGCUUAACACAUGCAAGUCGAACGGAAAGGCUCCUGCUUGCAGGGGUACUCGAGUGGCGAACGGGUGAGUAACACGUGGGUGAUCUGCCCUGCACUUCGGGAUAAGCCUGGGAAACUGGGUCUAAUACCGGAUAGGACCACAUUUUGGAUGGUGUGGUGGAAAGUUUUUCGGUGUGGGAUGAGCUCGCGGCCUAUCAGCUUGUUGGUGGGGUAAUGGCCUACCAGGGCGUCGACGGGUAGCCGGCCUGAGAGGGUGUACGGCCACAUUGGGACUGAGAUACGGCCCAGACUCCUACGGGAGGCAGCAGUGGGGAAUAUUGCACAAUGGGCGCAAGCCUGAUGCAGCGACGCCGCGUGGGGGAUGACGGCCUUCGGGUUGUAAACUCCUUUCGCUAGGGACGAAGCGCAAGUGACGGUACCUGGAGAAGAAGCACCGGCUAACUACGUG